GAUGAAGAACGUAGCGAAAUGCGAUAAGUAGUGUGAAUUGCAGAAUUCAGUGAAUCAUCGAAUCUUUGAACGCACAUUGCGCCUCCCGGCAUUCCGGGAGGCAUGCCUGUUCGAGCGUCAUCAAACACCAUCGUGCAAAUGAAUUACUUUGAUUUUUUCGCGCGGACGUGACGAUUGAGCGGAAACUUUCUUCGCACCUCGUCGAAAUGAUUGCGGGCGGAAUUUGGGUUCGGGUUCCUCGGCGUAGUGUACCAAUGCAUAUUUAUGCAACUUGCCGCGGAGUUGAGCCUGACCCACGCGUUCUCGCCGUACAAACACACAUAUCUUUACAAGUUUUUGACCUCGGAUCAGGUAGGGAUACCCGCUGAACUUAAGCAUAUCAACAAGCGGAGGA
Molecule: unclassified non-coding RNA, 394 nt
Filed under: soil metagenome
Description: partial contains 5.8S ribosomal RNA, internal transcribed spacer 2, and large subunit ribosomal RNA
Rfam family: 5.8S ribosomal RNA (bases 1-120)
Source: RNAcentral